CGGGUGAGUAACGCGUAGAUAAUCUGCCUUAGACUCUGGGAUAACAUCUCGAAAGGGGUGCUAAUACCGGAUAAGCCCACGGGGACGUGAGUUCUUGCGGGAAAAGGGGGCCUCUGCAUAUGCUCUUGAUCUAAGAUGAGUCUGCGUACCAUUAGCUUGUUGGUAGGGUAAUGGCCUACCAAGGCGACGAUGGUUAGCUGGUCUGAGAGGAUGAUCAGCCACACUGGGACUGAGACACGGCCCAGACUCCUACGGGAGGCAGCAGUGGGGAAUUUUGCGCAAUGGGGGAAACCCUGACGCAGCAACGCCGCGUGAGUGAUGAAGGCUUUCGGGUCGUAAAGCUCUGUCUAGAGGGAAGAAGUGAUAUUUGGCUAAUACCCAGAUUUCUUGACGGUACCUCUGAAGGAAGCACCGGCUAACUCCGUGCCAGCAGCCGCGGUAAUACGGAGGGUGCAAGCGUUGUUCGGAAUUAUUGGGCGUAAAGCGCGUGUAGGCGGUUUGUUAAGUCUGAUGUGAAAGCCCUGGGCUCAACCUGGGAAGUGCAUUGGAAACUGGCGGACUUGAAUACGGGAGAGGGUAGUGGAAUUCCGAGUGUAGGAGUGAAAUCCGUAGAUAUUCGGAGGAACACCGGUGGCGAAGGCGGCUACCUGGACCGAUAUUGACGCUGAGACGCGAAAGCGUGGGUAGCAAACAGGAUUAGAUACCCUGGUAGUCCACGCCGUAAACGCUAUGUUCUAGGUGUUGCG
RNAcentral lists this ribosomal RNA (746 nucleotides) under uncultured bacterium. Its description in RNAcentral is "bacterial SSU rRNA". It matches the Rfam family "Bacterial small subunit ribosomal RNA", at positions 103 to 827 of the family's 1533-position model. The record is from RNAcentral.